This 233-nucleotide ribosomal RNA is filed under the name uncultured bacterium. RNAcentral describes it as "partial 16S ribosomal RNA". It matches the Rfam family "Bacterial small subunit ribosomal RNA", at positions 118 to 347 of the family's 1533-position model. The record is from RNAcentral.
UGAGUAACCUGCCCUUAACUCUGGGAUAAGCCUGGGAAACUGGGUCUAAUACCGGAUAUGACUCCUCAUCGCAUGGUGGGGGGUGGAAAGCUUUAUUGUGGUUUUGGAUGGACUCGCGGCCUAUCAGCUUGUUGGUGAGGUAAUGGCCCACCAAUGCUUCGACGGGUAGCCGGCCUGAGAGGGUGACCGGCCACACUGGGACUGAGACACGGCCCAGACUCCUACGGGAGCAG